Molecule: long non-coding RNA, 319 nt
Organism: Melitaea cinxia (Glanville fritillary)
Lineage: Eukaryota; Metazoa; Arthropoda; Insecta; Lepidoptera; Nymphalidae
Exons: 2
Source: RefSeq, a predicted model, not a curated record
AGUUGAAUAAUGUACAGUACACUGUACAAAUUUUCUUCGCGGCAUUGAUGCAUGGACACGUGCGCGGGCGCAGUGCAACCGUCGCGCAUUGCUCUAUAAGCUAGCCACCUGAUCGAAUAAAGUAAACUAAUGGUCUAUGCUACUAUGGACGUGACUUUUAUUACACACCGUACUAUAAAUUUUAAAUUAGUGCGAUACAUCUACACUUUUAAAUAUAAUUUAGUUUAAUUAUGAAAGGUAAAUUUUAAAUAAUUCUUACAUGAAACUGUAAUUUCGAAUGAUUUAUAUCUAUGUAUUAUUUUGAUUUUACAGAAAGUGA